ACAGAUAUAGUUUUAAAAAAAAGUUUUAAACAAACGCCGAACACAUCCGUCGUCCGUACAAUAAAAGCCUUUUGAUUUGGCGGAGAGAUGCGAUGGCGGGGUGGGUUCUGAUGACGUCGUCGUUGUACGGACCAUCCUAGUUUUUUUUUUUUUUUUGAUUACUCAGGGUAAAUCCCCGGACCUAUGGAAGGAUCCGAGACUAAUCCCUGGAGAGAGGGUAUCCCACAAGUGAUGACCAAACAAAUAAAUCUAGUUUUUUUUUCCUCUCUAAAAAGUAACUUUUGUGAAAUUUGAACCGUGUUCAGUCAUAUUUUUUUUUUUAAGAAUAAAGUAUUUUUUGACAUUUUCUGGUAUAAAGUUUUGAAUGUAGAAGAAAACUAAAUUACUAAUCAAAAUUAAUAACAACAUAUUGAGAUAUUUAGAGGUUUUUCAGAUGUAGAAAUCAUGAAUAUCGACCAUACUUGUUGUAAAACUUGUUAAUUAUUAUCAAAAUCGACCAUACUAAAAAU
This 509-nucleotide long non-coding RNA is filed under the name Capsella rubella. RNAcentral describes it as "long non-coding RNA (CRUB_LNC002013)". The record is from RNAcentral. Lineage: Eukaryota; Viridiplantae; Streptophyta; Magnoliopsida; Brassicales; Brassicaceae.